Vigna radiata var. radiata (mung bean) is the source of this 1672-nucleotide long non-coding RNA. RefSeq lists it as uncharacterized. Lineage: Eukaryota; Viridiplantae; Streptophyta; Magnoliopsida; Fabales; Fabaceae. The record is from RefSeq and is a predicted model, not a curated record. The transcript has 2 exons.
UAAAUAAAUAAAUAAAUAAAUAAAUAAAUAAAAAAAAGGAAGUCCAGAAUAGAAAAGGGCCGAGUCCAAACAUCCAGAUUUCUUAGGGUUUUUUCUUCUUUUCCAGAGAAAAGCCAAAGCUGCAUUUACCCCCUUUCAACUGGUGCGGCACAGGGAAACCAGGGGCACCACCCCAACUCCGGCAAACUCCUCCCGGUCGUCGUCGUCGGGGUUGUCAACAACGUUACCCGCGUCGAGAGCGUCGUCGUUCUUCGCGGCACUCGAUUUCUUCGUCGUCUCCCGCGUGCACGGCCCAAUCCCACCACCAACGUUGCGCCGCAGACACCGGCAACCGCUUCGACUCCGCCGCCACCGGCGCUCAUCCAAGGAUGUGGCAUCUGUAGACUGCCGCUCUUCGUUGCCGGUGAUCCUUUCUUUUCUUAUUUUUUGCUCUGAUCGGGGUUCGUGCGCAAGUGAUAUUUUUAUGACCCAAAAAUGCAAAAAAAUGAUGGACGAAUUGAAACGAUACUUUAAUGGUCUGAAGUUGACAAAGAUGAUGAAACCGCUAUGUUUUACUGUUAUGUUUUUGGUUUUGCAGGAAAGUGAUUUUUGGGGUUUUUGGUGGCAUCAGUUAGAGUUUGAUGUUAAUGAUGGGGUUCUAUGUAAUUGGUCCUCUGUUUUACAGUACUUAGAGUUCACUUAGAGUUCUAUAUGAUGGAGGGAAAUGGUGGCUUCGUAGCUGCGCAAUAGUUGUGAGAAAGUAUAGGGAAAGCCAAAAACCUAACCUAAGUUGGUGAUGGAUGAAUGGAAAACAAGGAUACAAAACCAGACCACGCAACAGACAAAGUAACUCCCCGAUAUAAUUACAUAGUUUAAUUCAAACACCGGCGGGCAUUAUCAAACCAAAUUGGUACUGGACACGAUGAGAUACCUGAAGAAGCUCUUCUUCCUUAUCUUCCUCUUUCUAAAUGUGGCUUUUGUUGCUUUGUGUUGAAUGGUGGUUGAUGGAUGAUCCCGUCGGCAAAGGGAGUCAAAGCUAGUUGGGAAUGUUGUUGAUGUUGAGUGGGAGAAUCAGGUUCUUUUGUGCGCUCUUGAGUUCCCCUACCGUGGUUGCUGUGAUAAGGAGAAUGGCGUUAGUGCUGGAGGUCCUGGUAUCAGGAGCUCUCUCCUCAACUGGUUCGGUAUUAGUGAUGAGUCUUCAAAGUUCAAAAUCCGUUGGGCAAAAACUUGAGGUAAGUGUGGGGAGCAGAGAAAAAUCAGAGCAAGAGGGAGUCCCGUUGUUUUUUCAGUCCUCCGUGAAUCCUAGAUGGUUUUUUUUUUAAGUUUUUAAUCCCCUUAUCUAGGGAAGUCAGCUUUCUUUUCGUCCCCCUGUUCGAGAGUAUCCACUGAGGAUCCAGAAUCACCUGCCAAAGCCGCCUGCCGAUGCCGCCACCUUUGUCAAACGCCAUUCUCCUUUGAUGUAUAGUCGGUUGCCGAAAAACAAAGGGCACAGGAGCUUUUUUCCAAAAAAACGAAAAUUUGUUGCGUGUAGAAGUGUUUGCUGUUUGUGUGUUGCAGGAUAGAAGCGUUGUAGGAAGGGAUGCUGAGUUCUUAUUGACUGAGAAUGAAGACUGACUGGUAACGAAAAGAAAGACAAGAAUAUUAUUCCAAAAGAGGAAAUAAGUUGACUAUACCACUUUUUUUCUUUUUGUUA